CUCCUCCUACGUCGGCCGACGCCGCGGCCUACAGCGCCGCGGCGGCGCGCGCACUAGGCUGGUGCCAGGAUCCAACCAAGGAGA
This 84-nucleotide transfer RNA is filed under the name Pseudorhodoferax aquiterrae. RNAcentral describes it as "tRNA-Cys". The record is from RNAcentral. Lineage: Bacteria; Pseudomonadati; Pseudomonadota; Betaproteobacteria; Burkholderiales; Comamonadaceae.